Herpailurus yagouaroundi (jaguarundi) is the source of this 1250-nucleotide long non-coding RNA. RefSeq lists it as uncharacterized. Lineage: Eukaryota; Metazoa; Chordata; Mammalia; Carnivora; Felidae. The transcript is spliced from 2 exons. The record is from RefSeq and is a predicted model, not a curated record.
GAACCUUGCCUGCACCACUGUGUAAUCCAGGCUUUCUGAUGCUGAUGCCACCCUGGUUCCCUGCUGGGUGUCGGCAGGGGCUCCGGCCAGGGGAGACCGUCCCUUGCCCGGUUUCCUAGGGAUCAGGGUGGUGGAGCCAGGGCAGCCGCUGCCCCACGGCCCGAGCAAAGUUGUUUUUAGAGUGACCCUGAGCCACGGCUGGCCGCCACCCAGCUGGGUAUCUCUCGGGCUUCCAGGCUUGGCUCCCCGGUGACCGGCUGGGUCCAGAUCACCCUGGAUCUGCCACUCACACAUGUGCCGGGGAGGGCAACAGAAAGGGAAGACGAGAGAGGGCAGUAAAUGAGGGCAGGGAGAUGCAGCCUGUUGAAAUUCUAGACUCACCAGGAGCCAAGUGGGCCGGGAGGCUGGCCUUGCUGGCUGUGCUCAGCAGGAACCCAGUGGGCAGAAAUCCCACUGCCCAGCUCUCCUGGGGCGGGGGUAGAAGGGCAGACUGUAACUCUGUAGUCGUAUUGUGAAGACGAAGGAGGAAACCAGAGCAGCUGAUCCGGCCUGGAUCCCAGUGCCCACGUGCGCACAGAUAGGCCUUUGUGUCCCGGGCCCAGACAACAGGCCACAUUCUUCCCCCACCUCAGUGACGUCCUUCACGGACAUGUCCCCAGAGCACAUUUUCAAAGGAUUAAUCAGCUAUGGAUCAGAUGACACGGCAUUCCCUCUGCUACCCCCUCUCUGCCCAGGCUGCGCCUUCUCUUUGUCGUCUCCGAGCACAGAGCGGGUGGCCGACCCCAGCCCCGCCGACCGGCUGCUUCCAGCGGCCCCUGCACCGCUGUAGGUCUACGAACUUCAACACAUAUAUGGAUUGACAUAACCACCACCACAAGCAGGGUACCGAACACAUCCCAUCAGCGGAAAAUUCUCCCUGGGGCUCUGCCUUCUUGGUCACACCCACCCUCACCUUCUCCUAACCUCUGACAACACUGAGCUGUUCUCCGUCUCCAUAGCUUGGUCUUCUCAAGAACGUCCUAUAAAUGGAAUGAGACAGUAUGUAAGCUUGUUUUACAUUAAAUUUUUAAUCUUGAGGCAAACGUGGGUUCAUGCAGCAGUAAAGAAUAAUAUAGAGAUUCCAUGUACCCUUUUUCGACUAAUCCAUUAACGGUACUGGCUUGCAAAACGAUAGUGUAAUACCACAGCCAGAACACUGACGGGACAGGGUCAAGUUAUAGACAUUUCCAAACCCACAACAAUCUCUCCUA